UUGCUUCAGCAGCACAUAUACUAAAGUUAGAACAAUACAGAGGAGAUUAGCAUGGAUUCUGUGCAACAAUAAAUAAAUAACAGCAGUACUUGGUAUCCUU
RNAcentral lists this small nuclear RNA (100 nucleotides) under Heterocephalus glaber (naked mole-rat). The record is from RNAcentral. Lineage: Eukaryota; Metazoa; Chordata; Mammalia; Rodentia; Bathyergidae.